GACGAACGCUGGCGGCGUGCUUAACACAUGCAAGUCGAACGUGAUUUUUGUGGAAAUUCUUUCGGGAAUGGAAAUGAAAUGAAAGUGGCGAACGGGUGAGUAACACGUGAGCAACCUACCUUACGCAGGGGGAUAGCCGUUGGAAACGACGAUUAAUACCGCAUGAGACCACAGAAUCGCAUGAUAUAGGGGUCAAAGAUUUAUCGGUGUAAGAAGGGCUCGCGUCUGAUUAGCUAGUUGGAAGGGUAAAGGCCUACCAAGGCGACGAUCAGUAGCCGGUCUGAGAGGAUGAACGGCCACAUUGGAACUGAGACACGGUCCAAACUCCUACGGGAAGCAGCAGUGGGGAAUAUUGCACAAUGGGGGGAACCCUGAUGCAGCGACGCCGCGUGAGCGAAGAAGGUUUUCGAAUCGUAAAGCUCUGUCCUAUGAGAAGAUAAUGACGGUAUCAUAGGAGGAAGCCCCGGCUAAAUACGUG
RNAcentral lists this ribosomal RNA (478 nucleotides) under uncultured bacterium. Its description in RNAcentral is "partial 16S ribosomal RNA". It matches the Rfam family "Bacterial small subunit ribosomal RNA", at positions 28 to 507 of the family's 1533-position model. The record is from RNAcentral.